UUGACCUUAACUCAAAAUUGAAUGAGAGAAGCCACAUCAAGUGAGGGGAAAGAGCAUGAGUUGAACAGCCUGUGUAAGUGUUAAAAUUAAUGUCUAAUACUUUAAGUAUUAUUUUUAUAUAGUUUAUUAUCUGACAAAAUAGAACCAUGUGAAGAAAUUAAUCUACCUGCUUAAAAGGCCUGUUCCAUCAAAAUCACAACACAGGAAGGAAAAAAAAGCUAGCCAGGAACUCCACCCAAUUUAUCUCCUGUCUACAUCAGCACUUAACAAAAUGAAGUGAGUGGGCACCUGGGAAUUGUAGUUUUGCUAGGGAUCAUAGUUUAUAGGGUAACAGAUUCUAAUUUCACACCUGGCAACCAUAGUGUUAUAAUACCAAUGUGACUCUCAGUCACAUGCUUCUGUCAAUCACUCUGAUGUAUGCACCACUCAGUUUGUUGCAAAACGCUCUUUCCCUAUCACAAUAGACAGCAGAAUAGGAGAAGAUAGCAGAUAGGAGAAGCUGACUGGAUUUAGGGAAAACACAGAAGGAACAGCAUAGAGGAGUAAUUUGGCAUGAACUUCCAAAUGGCAUGAUGGUUCCAGUACCAUCCAAAAAGGAUAAUUACUCCAGGGUAUCACUAACUCCUGAAGGGAAAGAAAUUUUAAGAAUCACACAGCAUUAGACUCUCAGCUGUCUCAUGGUGCACCUCAGUCUGAACUAAACUGUAGCCUUCUCCAAGAAAGUGAACUGUUUGGAGAAGACACCAUUAAGAUGCCUGCACAGACCAUAAGCUGCAGCAGAAGAUCCAGAGUGAACUUUGGGAUGUGAUGAUUCGAACUGUGUGGGGUUGAAUGCAUUUGUUUUCUAAGCAACUUGAAUUCAAGGAAGAGAACCCCAAACCAGAUGCUGAGGAUGAGAAGAUUGCUCCUGGAGAUGAAAGUGAUCAGAGAGGUUCUCUGUUUUUGGUCACUGAAAAUCAAGUUGGUCACAACAUUUGAGCAAUCUUGGAUGCUUUUGGGGUAAAAUGUGCCUUUGGGUGAUGGAGACUGUCCAUUAACAGUUAGUACCAUGAAGACUGAUAUACUACCAGACAGAGAAAAAGAGGAGGAGAAAGAGAAGGAAGAAAAUAUGCCAAUUUCAACAGAUGCACUAGGACAAGAGUCAUGGGGAAGAGAUUCUGUGAAAGUCACAAAGUGUGAAAGAAAAUAAAUAAUAUUUCUCAUAGCUCCU
RNAcentral lists this long non-coding RNA (1210 nucleotides) under Monodelphis domestica (gray short-tailed opossum). Its description in RNAcentral is "lncRNA (ENSMODG00000033994.2)". The record is from RNAcentral. Lineage: Eukaryota; Metazoa; Chordata; Mammalia; Didelphimorphia; Didelphidae.